GCAUGUGGGAUCCUCCCGGACCGGGGCACGAACCCGUGUCCCCUGCGUCGGCAGGCGGACUCCCAAACACUGCGCCACCAGGGAAGCCCCUGCACAUCUUAUCUUUCAAGAAAUUCAUCCGUUUCGUGUAGACUGUCAAAUUUGGGUAGGGGUUGGGCUUGGCUUUGUUCUUCCAGAAGUGCACAUUACUAUCCCCCCUUGAAUUUUUAUGCGGUAGAAAGAAGAUGCUGAAGCAGUAUUCCCCAACAAGGGAAAUAAACAAGUUUUCCUGACAAUGGAACACGACGUUUAAACACUACGAGGACGAGCUGGUCGUAGCACUGCGCCAUAUCCUGCUCCACCAGUGUCGCCUUCCCUUUCCUGUCUCCUUGACGCCUCGGGUGAGCAGUGGCAUUCAGAGACGAAGCCUGCUUGCUCCUACUCCAGGUGUGCUGUGGCCAGCCUACAGGGCCUCAUAUUAUAAUCAGAUAAAAACAAUUUUAAAAAUCAGACAAAAGAUAAAUUAUCCAAGUUCUAUUAUAUUCAAAAGCACCAUGAAACCUGACUUAAAACUAUUGUUGAAUACUCAUUAACGAGUACCUUGAAAGCAAGUUUAAUAAUUCCAGAAUUAUGUUUUCUUUUACUAUUGUCUGUUCUAUUGGAACAUAAUAAAUAAAUACUGACAUUUAAAAAUGGAAUGAUGAAGACUUAUUUAUCCUUCGAAAUAAUGGUACACAUUUUGAUGAAGUUGUGGAUUAUAAAAAGCUUAAUUACUCAUGGUAAUAUGGUUAAAAUAAUACAUGGUAAUUACCUCUUCUCUUCUAUGAGGUAUUAAUGUAGUACCUGGAAAAACCAGUGUGUAACGCUGCAAAUGAAGUAUCUACUGCCUAAAUAUUUCUAAAAACAAUUUAAUAGCAAAGUAACAACCAAACUGAAAUUUCACCAUUUCAACCACUGGCACGUCAAAAAUGUGAUUGA
This is a long non-coding RNA of Delphinapterus leucas (beluga whale), 957 nucleotides long. RefSeq lists it as uncharacterized. Lineage: Eukaryota; Metazoa; Chordata; Mammalia; Artiodactyla; Monodontidae. The record is from RefSeq and is a predicted model, not a curated record.